This 253-nucleotide ribosomal RNA is filed under the name uncultured bacterium. Its description in RNAcentral is "partial 16S ribosomal RNA". It matches the Rfam family "Bacterial small subunit ribosomal RNA", at positions 524 to 776 of the family's 1533-position model. The record is from RNAcentral.
UACGUAGGGUCCGAGCGUUGUCCGGAAUUAUUGGGCGUAAAGAGCUCGUAGGCGGUUUGUCGCGUCUGCUGUGAAAACCUAAGGCUCAACCUUGGGCUUGCAGUGGGUACGGGCAGACUAGAGUGCGGUAGGGGUGACUGGAAUUCCUGGUGUAGCGGUGGAAUGCGCAGAUAUCAGGAGGAACACCGGUGGCGAAGGCGGGUCUCUGGGCAAUAACUGACGCUGAGGAGCGAAAGCGUGGGGAGCGAACAGG